This 371-nucleotide ribosomal RNA is filed under the name uncultured organism. RNAcentral's name for it is "partial 16S ribosomal RNA". It matches the Rfam family "Bacterial small subunit ribosomal RNA", at positions 527 to 896 of the family's 1533-position model. The record is from RNAcentral.
GGAGGGUGCAAGCGUUGUUCGGAAUUACUGGGCGUAAAGCGCGUGUAGGCGGCUUCUUAUGUCCGGUGUGAAAGCCCUCGGCCCAACCGAGGAAGUGCGCCGGAAACUGAGAAGCUUGAGUACGAGAGAGGAGGACGGAAUUCCCAGUGUAGAGGUGAAAUUCGUAGAUAUUGGGAAGAACACCGGUGGCGAAAGCGGUUCUCUGGAUCGAUACUGACGCUGAGACGCGAAAGCGUGGGGAGCAAACAGGAUUAGAUACCCUGGUAGUCCACGCCGUAAACGAUGGAUGUUAGUUGUUGCGGGCUUAUAAACUCGCAGUGACGACGCUAACGCAUUGAAUAUCCCGCCUGGGAAGUACGGCCGCAAGGUUA